CAAAAGCUGUGUCCACAAGAUGCUUAAUAGAAAAACAAAUUGCCAGAACAGGAUGGUUUAGUUCCAGGUAGCAUUACAUAGAAGAGUUUCAAACAGAAUUUGAUGGACUAAUAAUGACACAAUCUCAGCAGCUUCAGCAACCUGUUAAGAACAUUGAACAAACAUCAUUAGAUACGUUGACAUGAAAAAGAUAAACAAAAAACAGAAGAAAAAAGUCACCACAAUAAAUAGUAGAACAACGAGAAACUGGUUUUCCACUUCUCAAUGCUGCUCUGCACAUAGUAUCACCACUACUCUACAUACAAUCUUCUUCCCGUUUUGAAUAAAGUAGGGUUCUCAACCAUUAUCUCCAACAUAAAUCAGACCAGUAAAUCCAUUUUCCUUUUCCUGGUCCAAGAACUUCCACAAGAAAAAGACUUCAGACCUCCAAAUAUGUAUUUAUAUGCUCUAUGAUGAACAAGUUCCUGCUACAUGACAAUUAAAGACGAAAUUUGCCAUCCUAAACGCAGCAAUUGUUUAACACUAAAACACAUGCAAUUUGCUGUAACAGAGUGGAAAACUAUGUUACUCGGGCUCGGGUAUGAGAGUCAGAUAUGGGUAUGUGUCUAAGUGUCUAGUUCUUUAAUCAUCUAAAAUCAGGAUAAAGGGACACUUCUAAAGAGUCGGAUACUGGUACUUAGGUAUGAUGGACUUUCUAGGAAAUAUAUAUACAAAUUAUGUACAUUGAUUGUUGUUUACUUAUAAACGAACAGGGCCAUUUUCCUUGGGAGCUUUUCAGAUUUCAUUUAUACAAGGGAAAUUCAGAAUUUUAGAUAGGUCUUCUUUCUCUCUAACAUGAAAGUCCUAAAGUUUUCCACUUCACUUUACUUCUCUCCUCCCCCUUCACCAUCAACAUCCACUGACAAAAAAGAAAGUACCCAAAAAGUUGUUGAAGUCCAAUGCCUGGUCGACCUCUCCUGAUGUAUCUGUCAGUGAAGGAAGCAUCCCAUACCAGUACCUGUGCCAAGUUAUGUCGACACGGUAGAGCCGGAGUAACAUAGGUGGAAAGGUGAUUUUCCGGUAGCUAAUUUGUCAGUGUCACAAGUUUGACAAGCAUGGUGCAGCUUAUACCCAUUAUGGUAACAAUGGCUUUCACCCUGACAAAAUUAUACAUAACUCGAUGACUAUGUCUUGGAAAAUAUUUUGCAUUGCUCGGGCAUCCAAGAAAGAUAGAUAGUGAGAGUGAUAGCCAGAAAUUUCAAUCACUUAAUAAAGCUCACUUCUCUCUUCCUUUCUACCUGGCACGUUAGAAUCAACAUUCCAUUCCAUGGAACUGGUCAUGAAAAAGUAAAUGUGUGUUAGGAACCAAAUAUACCCCUCAUCUCAACACACAUUAUUUAUUUCUACAGCCAAGCCCCACAAAACUUUGGUUUCAAGAGGACAGAAAGCAAAUUCCUAAGCCCAGAUUCCCAGGACUACAGCUUUUUGUUAAAUGUGAGUAUUAUCGUCAGCUAACCUUUCUCUGGAAAAGCUGUUUAAUCAGAUUCUUUCCUAGCUGGGGAUACAAUGUACCUCUACAUGCCCCUUGGAAGAGAGCUUUUGGCUACAAACCUCAAUAGGCCACAAUUGUUUUCCAGCUUAGCUCCACUACAUGGAUAAUUUCCUAUUUCUUUUUUUUUCAAGUCCUUUUGCCCAGUAUCAAGUAAAAAAUGAGGCUCAUAGAAGAAAUGAAAGCUGUAACUGGCCAAAUCUUGCCGGUAUUGACCAGAACUGACUACUAAAGCACCCCAAAUCCCAUGGUUUUUUCUUCAUGCGAGCAGUUGCACUUAUAGAUAGCCAGUUUGUCACACAUCACAUAGUCUACUCACUUAAUAUAACUAAAAAGCAGUGCUCUUAGUUUUGAUUGAUGCUUUGACAGAAAUUGGUAAACAUUCAGGUACAAAUGCAAUACCCUAGACAGAAACCUCAUGUACUGCAGGUGAACUAAGUGGCUAAAUGUGAAAAUCAUUUAUUAGAUAGUACAAAGGCACUGCAUUUGCAAUCUUUUCCAUUGCAACAGAACGAUUAGCUUCAAUACUUCUGAGGUACAAAAUUAUCAAAAUUUGUUCAGUUGACAACUAAUCAGGCCAUUAUCGUUAGCACAUCUAGAAACAACUUUGGGAGUUAGAUGUAAUAUCAAUGAACAUUCAAAGGUAGCAAAACGCUAAUCACAGAUCCACACAAAGCAAAGCAACUAAAAAGUUCUCUCACUGAGUAUGUCUGUGCUGCACAGAGCAAAUACAUCCUAAAACAAGUUCAUAAACAUUGUCUCCAAAGUGGCACUCUUCUUUGCCUGCCAACUGAAGCAAAUCUCCAACCAACAAAAGUAAGGUACAAAAGAAGGAUAUAAGCUUUAUCACAAAGAAGCACAUAAAUGAGCAAUGCAACACUCUUAACAGAUACAUAAAUUCACUAAGAAACUCAUAAACUUGAGUUAAACCACAUUCGAUUGGAGAAAACGUAAAUGACCACUUACAAAACUAAAACAAGAAAAAUCGUUGAUUAAUACUCCCUCCGUCCCAUUGACACGGUCAUAUUUUCCUUUUUAGUUCUCCCAAAAUAUUUAUAACUUACAUAAAUUGGCUAACACAUUUGCAUUCAAUUCCUCCAUUUACCGUUCAAACACUCCCUAAAAGUCCAAUGCAUGUCUUUUCAUGAGCCCACAGAUUAUUACCGACGAAACUAGGACAACUUCUUUUGUAGUACGCGCUAGUUGGCAUUAAGAAACUAAAGCCAUUAAGUGUUCUGAUGCACGCGCUAGUUGGCAAUCAUAUCUGCGAUUGGACAAACAUCUUGGCUCCACGAUUCUUUAUGUCUUAACACAACACUUAAAGCUCUUCAAUUUUCAAAUUCUAUCCACUCUUCAUAAAAAUUACAGUCCCCGAAGUGCGAUAAAUUUUAUGGGACAAAGCGAGUAAUUCUCAAUAGGAGACCAAAACUGUUCCUAAAUCGUAAUUUACUGUAAUUUACUGUAAAAAUUAAAUCGUCUAUUGUACGAAUCAUUAGCUCAUAAUUUGCAAGCACUUCAACCAAAAAUUACAUUUCUAUUCCAAAAACCCCAUUCAGAAAUAACCUUAAGCUGUCAAAACAUAGAGAUUAUAAAUCCUAAAGACUGUCAAUUAAAAAAACUAAAGCAAACCCACUUAACAAAACCUAUCCAACCGUCACCCAAGAAAAAAAAUUUUAUUUACCUUCCCUAAGAUUAAACCAAAUAAAACUUGAAACCCAGAAAAAUGUCAAAAAGCCUCCAAAAAAUCCCCAGGUAAAAUCAUCCAAAAUAAAACUCAAAGAAAAAACUAAAAAAUAAUUACCUUUAGAUCAAGCAUUGGCAGUUUGAGGAAUAGGCUGCGCCGCUGGGGAGCCUUGUUUUUGUUGGGCUUCGGCUUCCGGGAUCUUCUGCAUCCGUUCCAUGACAAGCUCGUACUCGCACUUCUUACCUGCUUGAUUGAUUAACAAAUUGAUAAGACCGAAACAAGUAAUCUAUGUGCAUAUGCCGCUCAUAUGCUCUGCCUAAUCAAUUAUACAUGUAAACAAAAUUCACCGCUCGAGAUGAAGCAAAAAUCAAGAUUUGGCCUUGUUUGAAUUCCCAUUUCUUCCCAAAAAAUUUUACACUUUGCGUUAAUGCAUCUUUCAAUCACUUUUUUUUACCUCACGUGUGUCAUAUACUUACAAUAUAUUUUUUUCACAAAAACUCCAGAAAAUAGUAUCCAGACGGGUUAUUUGAAAUUAAUGUCUUAGCAUCCACAGAAUUUUCUCAAGUACCCCACAGCUUUCUCUUCACAGACUCGACCACAAUUGCCAUGGUCCCCGCAGCUCUC
This 3836-nucleotide long non-coding RNA is filed under the name Coffea arabica (coffee). RNAcentral describes it as "long non-coding RNA (CARA_LNC007855)". Lineage: Eukaryota; Viridiplantae; Streptophyta; Magnoliopsida; Gentianales; Rubiaceae. The record is from RNAcentral.